AGUGAACGCUGGCGGUAGGCCUAACACAUGCAAGUCGAACGGCAGCACAGUAAGAGCUUGCUCUUACGGGUGGCGAGUGGCGGACGGGUGAGGAAUACAUCGGAAUCUACUUUUUCGUGGGGGAUAACGGAGGGAAACUUACGCUAAUACCGCAUACGACCUACGGGUUAAAGCAGGGGAUCUUCGGACCUUUCGCGAUUGAAUGAGCCGAUGUCGGAUUAGCUAGUUGGCGGGGUAAAGGCCCACCAAGGCAACGAUCCGUAGCUGGUCUGAGAGGAUGAUCAGCCACACUGGAACUGAGACACGGUCCAGACUCCUACGGGAGGCAGCAGUGGGGAAUAUUCGACAAUGGGCGCAAGCCUGAUCCAGCCAUACUGCGUGGGUGAAGAAGGCCUUCGGGUUGAAAAGCCCUUUUGUUGGGAAAGAAAAGCAGCAGGUUAAUACCCCGCUGUUCUGACGGUACCCAAAGAAUAAGCACCGGCUAACUUCGUG
RNAcentral lists this ribosomal RNA (492 nucleotides) under uncultured bacterium. Its description in RNAcentral is "partial 16S ribosomal RNA". It matches the Rfam family "Bacterial small subunit ribosomal RNA", at positions 29 to 507 of the family's 1533-position model. The record is from RNAcentral.